AGCAGCCGCGGUAAUUCCAGCUCCAAUAGCGUAUAUUAAAGUUGUUGCAGUUAAAAAGCUCGUAGUUGAAUUUCGGGACCAAUAUGUCGGUCGUGCCUCGGUAUGUACUGGCAUCGUUGGUCUCUCCCUUCUGACGAACCAUGAUGUCAUUUAUUUGGUGUCGUGGGGAAUCAGGACUGUUACUUUGAAAAAAUUAGAGUGUUUAAAGCAGGCUCACGCUUGAAUACAUUAGCAUGGAAUAAUGAAAUAGGACGUUUGAUUCUAUUUUGUUGGUUUCUAGGAUCGACGUAAUGAUUAAUAGGGAUAGUUGGGGGCAUUAGUAUUCAAUUGUCAGAGGUGAAAUUCUUGGAUUUAUUGAAGACUAACUACUGCGAAAGCAUUUGCCAAGGAUGUUUUCAUUAAUCAAGAACGAAAGUUAGGGGAUCGAAGACGAUCAGAUACCGUCGUAGUCUUAACCAUAAACUAUGCCGACUAGGGAUCGAAUGAUGUUAAUUUUUUAAUGA
This 503-nucleotide small RNA is filed under the name uncultured Glomus. Its description in RNAcentral is "SSU rRNA". It matches the Rfam family "Eukaryotic small subunit ribosomal RNA", at positions 569 to 1077 of the family's 1831-position model. The record is from RNAcentral. Lineage: Eukaryota; Fungi; Glomeromycota; Glomeromycetes; Glomerales; Glomeraceae.